This 226-nucleotide ribosomal RNA is filed under the name uncultured bacterium. RNAcentral's name for it is "partial 16S ribosomal RNA". It matches the Rfam family "Bacterial small subunit ribosomal RNA", at positions 538 to 763 of the family's 1533-position model. The record is from RNAcentral.
GCGUUGUCCGGAUUUAUUGGGUUUAAAGGGUGCGCAGGUGGUUUAUUAAGUCAGUGGUGAAAGACGGUCGCUCAACGAUUGCAGUGCCAUUGAAACUGGUAGACUUGAGUAAAGUAGAGGUGGGCGGAAUUGAUAGUGUAGCGGUGAAAUGCAUAGAUAUUAUCAAGAACUCCAAUUGCGUAGGCAGCUCACUUGGCUUUUACUGACACUCAUGCACGAAAGUGUG